Molecule: ribosomal RNA, 253 nt
Filed under: uncultured bacterium
Lineage: Bacteria
Description: partial 16S ribosomal RNA
Rfam family: Bacterial small subunit ribosomal RNA
Source: RNAcentral
UACGUAGGAGGCAAGCGUUGUCCGGAGUUACUGGGCGUAAAGCGCACGCAGGCGGUCUGUUCAGUUUGGAGUGACAGUUCCUGGCUCAACCGGGAAAGUGCUUCGAAUACUGGCGGUCUUGAGGGCUUCAGAGGGACACGGAAUUCCGGGUGGAGUGGUGAAAUGCGUAGAGAUCCGGAGGAACACCAAAGGCGAAGGCAGUGUCCUGGGGAGUACCUGACGCUCAGGUGCGAAAGCCAGGGGAGCGAACGGG